GUGCCAGCCGCCGCGGUAAUACCGGCAGCUCAAGUGAUGGCCGCUGUUAUUGGGCCUAAAGCGUCCGUAGCCGGCCGCACAAGUCCGUCGGGAAAUCCACCCGCCUAACGGGUGGGCGUCCGGCGGAAACUGUGCGGCUUGGGACCGGAGGACUCGAGGGGUACGUCCGGGGUAGGAGUGAAAUCCCGUAAUCCUGGACGGACCGCCGGUGGCGAAAGCGCCUCGAGAGGACGGAUCCGACGGUGAGGGACGAAAGCGAGGGUCUCGAACCGGAUUAGAUACCCGAGUAGUCC
This 293-nucleotide ribosomal RNA is filed under the name uncultured bacterium. Its description in RNAcentral is "partial 16S ribosomal RNA". It matches the Rfam family "Archaeal small subunit ribosomal RNA", at positions 455 to 747 of the family's 1478-position model. The record is from RNAcentral.